Molecule: unclassified non-coding RNA, 342 nt
Filed under: soil metagenome
Description: partial contains 5.8S ribosomal RNA, internal transcribed spacer 2, and large subunit ribosomal RNA
Rfam family: 5.8S ribosomal RNA (bases 1-119)
Source: RNAcentral
GAUGAAGAACGUAGCGAAAUGCGAUACGUAAUGUGAAUUGCAAAUUCAGUGAAUCAUCGAGUCUUUGAACGCACAUUGCGCCCCCUGGUAUUCCGGGGGGCAUGCCUGUCCGAGCGUCAUUACUGCCCUCAAGCCCGGCUUGUGUGUUGGGCCCCGUCCUCCGAUCCCGGGGGACGGGCCCGAAAGGCAGCGGCGGCACCGCGUCCGGUCCUCGAGCGUAUGGGGCUUUGUCACCCGCUCUGUAGGCCCGGCCGGCGCUUGCCGAUCAACCCCAAUUUUUAUAGGUUGACCUCGGAUCAGGUAGGGAUACCCGCUGAACUUAAGCAUAUCAUAAGCGGAGGA